ACAUGCAAGUCGAGCGCUCUAACCACUUCGGUGGGGACGGGAGCGGCGGACGGGUUAGUAACGCGUGGGAACAUACCCUUUUCUACGGAAUAGCCUUUGGAAACGAAGAGUAAUACCGUAUACGCCCCUCGGGGGAAAGAUUUAUCGGUGAAGGAUUGGCCCGCGUUAGAUUAGAUAGUUGGUGGGGUAAUGGCCUACCAAGUCUACGAUCUAUAGCUGGUUUGAGAGGAUGAUCAGCAACACUGGGACUGAGACACGGCCCAGACUCCUACGGGAGGCAGCAGUGGGGAAUCUUAGACAAUGGGCGCAAGCCUGAUCUAGCGAUGCCGCGUGAGUGAAGAAGGCCUUAGGGUCGUAAAGCUCUUUCGCCUGUGAUGAUAAUGACAGUAGCAGGUAAAGAAACCCCGGCUAACUCCGUGCCAGCAGCCGCGGUAAUACGGAGGGGGUUAGCGUUGUUCGGAAUUACUGGGCGUAAAGCGUACGUAGGCGGAUUAGUAAGUUAGGGGUGAAAUCCCAGGGCUCAACCCUGGAACUGCCUCUAAAACUGCUAGUCUAGAGAUCGUGAGAGGUGAGUGGAAUUCCGAGUGUAGAGGUGAAAUUCGUAGAUAUUCGGAGGAACAUCAGUGGCGAAGGCGGCUCACUGGCACGAUACUGACGCUGAGGUACGAAAGUGUGGGGAGCAAACAGGAUUAGAUACCCUGGUAGUCCACACCGUAAACGAUGAAUGCCAGACGUCGGGUAGCAUGCUAUUCGGUGUCACACCUAACGGAUUAAGCAUUCCGCCUGGGGAGUACGG
RNAcentral lists this ribosomal RNA (796 nucleotides) under uncultured bacterium. RNAcentral describes it as "bacterial SSU rRNA". It matches the Rfam family "Bacterial small subunit ribosomal RNA", at positions 53 to 885 of the family's 1533-position model. The record is from RNAcentral.